GAUCACUUGAGCCCAGCAGUUCAAGAUUAGCCUCGGCAACAUGGCAAGACCCCCUUUCUUUAAAAAAAAAAAAUGAAUAAAUAAAGACCUAAAGCAUUUUUUAUUUAUUGUAUAUUUUUUUGAGAGAGUCUUGCUCUGUUGCCCAGGCUAGAGUGCAGUGGCAUGAUCUCAGCUCACUGUAACCUCUGCCUCCUAGAUUCAAGCGAUUCUCCUGCCUCAGCCUCCCAAGUAGCUGGGACUAUAGGCAUGUGCCACCACGCCGGCUAAUUUUUGUAUUUUUAGUAGAGACAGGGUUUCACCAUGUUGGCUGGGCUGGUCUCGAACUCCUGACCUCAGGUGAUCCACCCGCCUUGGCCUCCCAAAGUGCUGGGAUUAUAGGCAUAAGCCACUGCGCCCGGCCUAAAGCAUUUUUUAAAUCCUUGUACCCUCGAAGUACCUGCUUUGAACACCCUGUGGAAUUCACAAUGAAGGCUACUCUACCUGUAGUUUCCGGCAGUUAAAAUUUCAUGCUUUCACUGUCACAGCCUGGGUUCAAUUCCAAGUCAGGGAACCAGUCCCAACUAAAAUAAGAUAAUAAAAGAUUUGAAAAAACAGUUUUGAAGGGCUCUCUGGUCAGAAGUCAGCUUAAUUAAAAGCCGAUGUUCAAGCUAUGUAUACAUAAAGGCCUUUCUGCCUUUUCUCUUUUAGAUCCUGUUUCUGGAAACUUUCUUCAGUUGACUGACACCCCCUUUGGUGAAGAAGGGUUUCCUGGAAAUCCCUCCACAGGUUUCUACUCUACUCACCCUACACUGGCCAGAGCUGCAUCACAUGGUCAUGUCUAAAUCAUGGUUUGGGUCAAUGAUGAUUUUUCCCAUUGAGCUGGGACCUACAUCCCCCGAAGCACAGUCUUUUAGCAAGGAUUGAAAGGAGGACCAGCUUUUGUGCAGGAAUCAACAAUGUCUGUGACUCUGUGUGACACCAUUAAAUACUAAUGCAGAGGCUGAAACUGCUCAGAAAUGUUAUGUUUAAAUCGUUUUACAUAAUUGCAUGGAUUCGUGUGUGACAAGGCUUUGAAAAGUUGAUGUGUGCAUUAACAGGAGUUUUCAUCAGGUGGAUGUUAGAGGUUGGGGAGGGGUAUUCCAGGCCCAAGGGACAGUAUGUGCAAAGGUACAGAGACUUAAAAUAGAAAAGCAUAUUCAAGGAAAAUGUCAAGCACUAUAAGUUAACAUGCAUGCCUGGGGUAAAUAAUUCAAGUGGAGAGCAAUAAUUCAAGUGGCCAGAGACGUAGGCAGGGCUAAAUCCCAAAAGCCUUUGGGCACUCUUCUAAGCAAUGGAAACUCCAUCCUCUGGGCAUAAGAGUGUCCUGUAGGAUGAGCAUUUUAGAAAAAUGACACUGGUAGUGAUGUGGAAGAGAAGCAUAUGCCUGGAGGCUGGAAGAUGAGUGAGGUAGGUCAGAGGUAAGAGGAUGAGGAAUGCAGAUAGAGGAACAGACAGAUUUGAGGGCUAUCUGGUAGGUGGAAGUGACAGAACUUGAUGGUGGGUGAAACAGAAUGACCUGGAGCUGUCUGACAUGGGAAGCAGAUUUUUUUUUUUACAAAAGGAGAAGUGAGAUUUUGUUUUAAUCUAUUUUUAUUCUAAUAAAUUGGACUAAAAGCACUGGUUAGAGCCUGUGCUCCAGUAAAAGAGUUCAUCAUGACUGGUAGAGUUGGCCUUAACAUCAUCAGACUUGGCACAAAGUUCUUGAAAAAAUUGUGAAGUUUAACUCUCAACGUCACCAGUGUCACCUUCCUGUUUUGUGCUAUUCUCACCUUGAGGAGGCACCUCUAUAAUCAGCCAAUUACUAUUUUUUGAGCAUUUACUCUGUUCCCACGUCUUACAAUGUGGCACUUACCAUACGAAACAAAGUCUCUCCGGUUGGGAAUUGUGGUGGAUCAUCUGCAAAGACAGUAGCCAAAAGUUCCUGCUGUCUCUGAGUGCCCAUACACUUCUCCCAUCAAGAGGUGGAACCUAUUUUCCCCUGCUGGGAUUACAGCAUUAUGACUCAUUGUGACCAACAGAAUGCAGCAGCAAUGACAGGUGAGAGUGCUACAGCCUAGACCUUAAGAGGCACUGCAGCCUCCAUGCUUGCUGUCUUGAAGUCCUGAGCUAUUAUAUUAAGAAGUUCAAGGGCCGGGCGCAGUGGCUCACUCCUGUAAUCCCAGCACUUUGGGAGGCUGAGGUGGGCAGAUCGCUUGAGGUCAGGAGUUUGAGACCAGCCUGGCCAACAUGGUGAAACCCCGUCUCUACUAAAAAUACAAAACUUAGCUGGGCGCAGUGGCACAUGCCUGUAAUCCCAGCUACUAGGGAGGCUGAGGCAGGAGAAUCACUUGAACCCAAGAGGUGGAGGCUGCAGUGAGCCAGGAUCAUGCCACUGUACUCCAGCCUGGGCAAAAGACCGAUACUUCAUCUAAAAAAAAAAAAAAAAGAAGACGAAGUUCGAGGACUCUGCCAAAGAGAUCUCAUGGAGAGAGACGAUCAGCCAAGAAGAACAGACCCAAGCUGUUCCAGCCGUCCCGUCUGAGGUGCCAGCUAUGUAGGUGAGGCUUUUUUGCAUCACCCGGCCCCAGUCAAGCUUUCAGAUGACUGUACUUCAUCAGUGACCUCAGGUGAGACAGCAGAGGUACUACCUGAGUCUCAGCUGAGCUGGUGUCAUAUUGCAGAAUUGUAG
RNAcentral lists this long non-coding RNA (2686 nucleotides) under Papio anubis (olive baboon). RNAcentral's name for it is "lncRNA (ENSPANG00000043335.1)". The record is from RNAcentral. Lineage: Eukaryota; Metazoa; Chordata; Mammalia; Primates; Cercopithecidae.